GACUUUCUACAUUUUCUGCCACUGCACCCUCUUCAGCAGGUGAACUCACCUCUUACUACAUGGAAAAAAUAGAAGGUUUCAAAUAGGAAUGGUCUCAUCUUCCCAUCACCAAAUCUAGAAUCCAGCCUGCAUUCCCACGUACCUCCUCUUCUUCAGGCCAGAUUCAUCAAACAUCUCCUGGCUAUGAGGAGUCCCUUGGGAAUUCAGAGACAGAAAAAGAGUGAGCUAGUUGCUCCCUGAGAGCAGUUGCCUUGGAUUGGCUCUUUUCUUCACAGAAGAACAAUGAAGCAGUCUGCCUCCAAGUUAACCCAAGGCAGAAAACUGCUUCCAGCCUUCAAAUGAAAUGGGUUGAUGUGGCUUAGGGCACAUGGCUUAUCCACAGUAUAAUCAUGAGAACCAAUAUUUACUAAGUCCUCACUCUGGGCCAGAAAUUCUUCUAAGCAUUUACCAACUCACUUAGACUUGCAAGAGCCUGUGAAACAGAUGUCAUUCUUGUCUCCAUUUGACAGAGGAGGUAAGAAUAUUCUCAAGGUUAUAUAGCUAGAAAGUGGCAGUGGCCAGGGUGCGAUGGCUGACGCCUGUAAUCUCAGCACUUUGGGAGGCCAAGACAAGUGGAUUUCUUGAGCCCAGGAGUUUGGGACCAGCCUGGGCAACAUAGUAAGACCUCAUCUCUAUAAAAAUUUAAAAAUAAAUAAAUAAAAAGUAAAAAUACAGCUAGAAAGUGGCAAAGUUAUGGUCUCAAAUCAGACAGUUUGAACUCAGAGCCCAUGUGCUGGCCUCUCAGACUGGGAUCUACUCAGUCACUGGACAACAACAAAUCUCCAGUCUUCAUCAGAUUAUCUGAUUUUUUCCAAAUUGCUUAGGAAUUCUUUAAACAUCAAAAAUUCAUUAUAUAACCAUUAUGUAAAUAACAUCAUUAAAAGCAUGUUCAAAUGAGAAAAAGAAGUCACUACUAAACUUACCACCCCAAAGCAACUGAUUUUAUAUAUGCAUGCUUUUUUGAUCCUUGCACUCACAUGUUCCAUAUAGUGAAAUAUAAUUCUGUAUUAUGAUUAUUUCCUGAUGUUAUAACAUUGUAUUAUAAGUGUAUUUUCAUAAGGUUAUUUUCUGACAUUUUAAUUGCUGGGUAGCAUUCCUUCAAGUUGAUGUACCAUAAUUGACUUAGCUACUUCCCUAUUUUGAACAUUUAGAUUGUUUCCACUUAAAAAUUUGAAAAAUAAACAAACUCUUUGCUCUCA
RNAcentral lists this long non-coding RNA (1238 nucleotides) under Homo sapiens (human). RNAcentral describes it as "HSALNT0013310". Lineage: Eukaryota; Metazoa; Chordata; Mammalia; Primates; Hominidae. The record is from RNAcentral.